RNAcentral lists this ribosomal RNA (497 nucleotides) under uncultured bacterium. Its description in RNAcentral is "partial 16S ribosomal RNA". It matches the Rfam family "Bacterial small subunit ribosomal RNA", at positions 28 to 507 of the family's 1533-position model. The record is from RNAcentral.
GAUGAACGCUGGCGGCGUGCCUAAUACAUGCAAGUCGAGCGAACAGACGAGGAGCUUGCUCCUCUGACGUUAGCGGCGGACGGGUGAGUAACACGUGGAUAACCUACCUAUAAGACUGGGAUAACUUCGGGAAACCGGAGCUAAUACCGGAUAAUAUAUUGAACCGCAUGGUUCAAUAGUGAAAGACGGUUUUGCUGUCACUUAUAGAUGGAUCCGCGCCGCAUUAGCUAGUUGGUAAGGUAACGGCUUACCAAGGCAACGAUGCGUAGCCGACCUGAGAGGGUGAUCGGCCACACUGGAACUGAGACACGGUCCAGACUCCUACGGGAGGCAGCGGUAGGGAAUCUUCCGCAAUGGGCGAAAGCCUGACGGAGCAACGCCGCGUGAGUGAUGAAGGUCUUCGGAUCGUAAAACUCCGUUAUUAGGGAAGAACAAAUGUGUAAGUAACUAUGCACGUCUUGACGGUACCUAAUCAGAAAGCCACGGCUAACUACGUG